This 437-nucleotide ribosomal RNA is filed under the name uncultured bacterium. RNAcentral's name for it is "partial 16S ribosomal RNA". It matches the Rfam family "Bacterial small subunit ribosomal RNA", at positions 29 to 507 of the family's 1533-position model. The record is from RNAcentral.
AGCGAACGCUGGCGGCAGGCUUAACACAUGCAAGUCGAGCGGGCAUCCUUGUGGUGUCAGCGGCAGACGGGUGAGUAACGCGUGGGAACGUGCCCUUCGGUUCGGAAUAACUCAGGGAAACUUGAGCUAAUACCGGAUACGUGCGAGAGCAGAAAGGUUUAUCUGCCGAAGGAUCGGCCCGCGUCUGAUUAGCUAGUUGGUGAGGUUACGGCUCACCAAGGCGACGAUCAGUAGCUGGUCUGAGAGGAUGAUCAGCCACACUGGGACUGAGACACGGCCCAGACUCCUACGGGAGGCAGCAGUGGGGAAUAUUGGACAAUGGGGGCAACCCUGAUCCAGCCAUGCCGCGUGAGUGAUGACGGCCUUAGGGUUGUAAAGCUCUUUUCUCCGGGACGAUAAUGACGGUACCGGAGGAGUAAGCCCCGGCUAACUUCGUG